CCACCCCUGUGGUGCAUAGCCCCCAGCACUGGCAGCAGCAGCCAGCUGGGCCAUACAGUCUGUGCAUGGAGAACAGGCCCCGCCCACCCCGCUAGCACACCUUGGGACAGGACCGGGAUGGCUCCUUCCACCACCUGCGGGUUCUGCACAAAGCCAUGUGCUAGUGGGGCAGGGCGAGUCAGGUCAGGCUGGGCCCUUUCUCCAUAAGGGUUAGGUGACAAUGUGCAGCUGCGGAGCUGUGCCUACAGUGGGCCAUGACCUCUCUGAUGGCUUGGCUCAUUGCUGCUGCCAGCGCCGGGGGCUGUGCACUGCAGGGCAUGGAUUGUGGUGGGUGGGCGUGUGGCAGCCCCCCCUCAAAUCCCUACAGAAACCUCAUAUCCCCCCCACACCCACCCACACACCGCACUCCCACCUACAUCCCCCCACAUCCAAUUAUACACCACACAUCCCCCCCCACACUCAGCCACACACCCCACAUCCCUUCCCACCCCACCUCCAGCAAACUCCACAUCCCCCCAUCACACACCCAGCAUGCCCAGCUGCCAGACAGGAUGAGACCUGCUGGCAGGAGCUGUGGCUGCAGGGGAAACUGUCCCUACUUCCUGGUUAGUGAAGGGGUCAGGGGGAGCUCUGAUUUUUCUAUGAUAAGAAAACCAAAAGCAAACAUCAACAGGAAGAACAUCCAUAUAAAAUAAGUCAUACUAGUAUAGCUUCUUAUUCUGGAUAAUUACUGUCAACACAGCAAGCCAUGAACAUGUCAAGCUAACCUUUCUCAUACUCCUGUCAAAACACUUAGUUCCAUUAUGUAAAUAUUCACUGAGGUUGUUUCAGGUAAAAAAGAACAAGCUAGUUCAGAAUUUUUGCCUUUGUUUCCAUUGUGUACGCUCCCCAAUGUGCCCACCCAACUAUAGCAGAUGGAGAGAUCAAAACAAAUCUUUACCAUGACUCUAUAUUAGCUUUAUUCCAGAUAUAAAGGUUACUUAUUUGAAGUAUUCUCCCUUCACAAACAACUACCAGCACUUCUGAAAGAUCACUUAAAUGUUACUUGUCUGCAUGAAUAUUUGGGUUUUUCUUUGGUGGUAAUCAAUUUCUCCAGCAAAACAACCUUCAGUCACAAUUCUAUAGACAUGUCUGGGUUGACCCUUUUAAAUGGCUGGGAGGGUAGGGUUUCUUAUAAGCCUCAUUUCAGCUUUAGUGCUAGCUUUCAACUUGAACUUUUCUCUGGGAUCAGUGGCUGGACUAGUCAAUAGUCUGAGAACUUAAAGUGACAGGAUUUUCAUAGAUUUUAUAGAAAUUAGGGCUGGAAGGGACCUUGAAAGAUCGAGUCCAACCCGCUGCACCAGGAGCAGGAAGUCAGCUGGGGUCAAAGGAUUCCUGCAAGAUAAGUGUCCAAACGUUUCUUAAAAGAAUCCACAGUAGAUGCUUGCACCACCUCUGGAGGCAGUCUAUUCUAGGCCUUGGACAGUAAACAAGUUUUUCCUUAUAUCCAACCUGAAACGGUCUUGAAGGAGUUUGUGACCAUUGGACCUUGUCAUCCCUUGGGGCGCUCUGGUGAACAGGUAUUCCCCCAGAUCCUGAUGCACACCUCUUAUAUACUUAUAGGCUGCCACCAAGUCACCCCAGAGCCUGAGCUUUUUUAGGCUGAAGAGUCCCAUGGCUCUCAGCCUCUCUUCAUAAGGCCUGUUCUCCUGCCCUCUGAUCAUGCGCUUGGCUGUCCUCUGGACUCCCUCAAGCUUCUCCACAUCCUUCUUGAAUUGAAUUUUGAUUCUUCCCUUCUGUUUCAUCUUUCUGCAUCUCCUGGGAAAAUUGUUUGCAAAAUGAAAGUUGAGCAGGACAUCAUUAACUGUCAUGGCAUAAUGCACCAUGGCUUGAUAGCCACUUUGAGAGAUAUGGUCAUCAGUACCAUUGAUGAACUCAGAGAGAAGUUCUAGGUGACACCAUGAAUAUGAGUGAAUAAUUUCCUGUGCCUUUCACCUGAGCGUCAGGUCUGUGUGAUUUUUCUGGCUUCACUGUGGCUUUAAGGAAGGAACAGGCUUGUUAAUAGAACAGACCUCGGUUGGUACUCCUUGGGGGUCUUCCCUGCCACAUCUUUGAUGGAAAAUUACUUUUUAUGGGAGGAAGAUGGUCUAUCCUGCCUACCAUGGGUACCUUUCUCCAGCCAUUCCGGUUGUCCUUCCUGCUUGGGGCUCCACCUCCCCUACACCCCACCUAACACCAACCACAGAUGGUUUUGUCUGGCCCACCAGGAUUAGUAUCAUGCACCCUUUUGGUGUCUUGGCCCCUUUUGAAUUUACACUGGUGGUAUCGGGACGUUGAUCUGACCCGGUUAUUCUAUGCCUCACCUUGCUUUAUUUAUUGGUCUCAUUGGUCCCAGCCUGUUGUGUUCUCCAGCGUCCCACUCUUAGCUCGAGUUUUGUACCUCCCAUAAGUUGUGUCUGCUGGUCCCUUCUCUAUCUGGUUCUGUCAAUAUCCAGCCUGUGUUGAGGAUCUCCGAUGUCCACGGAGAACCCUCUGAUAAGCUGUGGAGCUGCUUUGGCUCUGAUGCUUUGAAGAGGCCCCCUCCUGGGGUAGCCGCCACGUCCCUGAGCUGGGACUGCCUUCAGUGCCAGGCCCCUCCAGGCCAGUUGAAGACCUCACUUCCGGUCCUCGCCGCUGAUUCCCUGCCGAGCCUUUUAUCCCGGCUGCAGGGUUCCAGCCAGCGAAUCGGCCCUGGCACGCUCCUUUGAAGUGUGCCCAUGCCAACGUGGGAGCCAAUCCCAGCUCCUGACUCAGCAUUUUUUUUUUCUUCUUCGCCACAGCGAAUGGGAACGCUGCAGUUUCACUUUCACUGCGCUCCGUUUCCAGCAUGGCAUCCCACCGGCGCCUCUCCUCAUCAAAAGGAGGUUAUUAAUCAGUUCCUUGAGACAUUCCAAACCAGAUAACCCCUUGCCACUGAAAAAGGUAAUUCAUGUAAAUUAGAACUGUUUAAAUAACAGGAUUUUCCCUGUAAGUUAUGGCUUGGGACUCUCUUGAUUUACACGACUAAAAGAAUGUUUUGAAGAGGCUGGACUAAGGGUAUAAGAAAGCAGUAAGCAGAAAACAGUAUGUGCUUCAAGAGGGAAAAUCUCUCUGACACGAUCUGCUGUUGUUCUCGAGAAGCUGAGAUAAACAGAUCAUCUCUUUUUGUCGCCUGUUUAACCUUCAGCAAUCAUGCUAGGAACUUUGCCUGUCAACAAAACACCUGAGUGCCAUGGAUUGGUGAGAUCCCAGCUCUCGCUCUCGGUCUCUCUCUCUCUCUCUAGGCAUAGCUUUCUGAACUUGAAUUGUAUUAGUUAAGCUUGAGGUAGGUUUCCCCAAAUACUCAACUGAACCAGGGUAAUAUUGUAAUUGUUUUUGUUUGUUUUUCCUUGCAUGGCUGUUACUACAAGUACCAUCAUAAAUUUCAUAUACUUAGCAAUAAAUAACUUUUAUAGUCAAA
Alligator mississippiensis (American alligator) is the source of this 3457-nucleotide long non-coding RNA. RefSeq lists it as uncharacterized. The transcript has 2 exons. NCBI's taxonomy places the organism in Eukaryota, Metazoa, Chordata, Crocodylia, Alligatoridae. The record is from RefSeq and is a predicted model, not a curated record.